CAGACCGCCGUGAGAUGAUGAAGGCCUUAGGGUCGUAAAGCUCUUUCGCCAGAGAUGAUAAUGACAGUAUCUGGUAAAGAAACCCCGGCUAACUCCGUGCCAGCAGCCGCGGUAAUACGGAGGGGGUUAGCGUUGUUCGGAAUUACUGGGCGUAAAGCGUACGUAGGCGGAUCAUUAAGUUGGGGGUGAAAUCCCGGGGCUCAACCCCGGAACUGCCUCCUAAACUGCUGGUCUUGAGUUCGAGAGAGGUGAGUGGAAUUCCGAGUGUAGAGGUGAAAUUCGUAGAUAUUCGGAGGAACACCAGUGGCGAAGGCGGCUCACUGGCUCGAUACUGACGCUGAGGUACGAAAGUGUGGGGAGCAAACAGGAUUAGAUACCCUGGUAGUCCACACCGUAAACGAUGAAUGCCAGUCGUCGGGUAGCAUGCUAUUCGGUGACACACCUAACGGAUUAAGCAUUCCGCCUGGGGAGUACGGUCGCAAGAUUAAAACUCAAAGGAAUUGACGGAAACU
This 512-nucleotide ribosomal RNA is filed under the name uncultured bacterium. RNAcentral's name for it is "bacterial SSU rRNA". It matches the Rfam family "Bacterial small subunit ribosomal RNA", at positions 392 to 921 of the family's 1533-position model. The record is from RNAcentral.